This 227-nucleotide long non-coding RNA is filed under the name Elaeis guineensis (African oil palm). RNAcentral describes it as "long non-coding RNA (EGUI_LNC027013)". The record is from RNAcentral. Lineage: Eukaryota; Viridiplantae; Streptophyta; Magnoliopsida; Arecales; Arecaceae.
AGCCGCACAGGUGAGACUUGCAUCUAACAUCCAUGACUAACAACCUCGAUCCAAAGGAGGUGGGAGAGAUUCUUCCCUCAAUAAAAGAUCAGAACGUGGUCUAAUGAUCUAUAGAAAUAGGCUUAACAAACAUAUAAAUUCCAACUAAUGGCCUAUGAACUUAACCUUCAUAUAAAAGAGGUACGAAAGGGACUCUCAGAUAAGCAGACAAGCAAAACACAAGCAAC